UCAAUUCGGGACAUACCACAGAUCAAUGAACGGCGAAACAUUCAACUAAAACGUUUUGACACUGCCAAGGAACAUACAUUGCAAAGUGUUGACACAUUCAAAGACUUUCUUUGGAAAGAAUGUCGGUUAGGUGAAUAUAUAAGUGCCUUUUCUAAGUUAAAUGGUGGUGGGUCUUUCUUCCUUGGCAUCAACGAGAACGAAGAACAAUACGGUGCCUACACAUCUAAGACGUUUUCAUCAACUGGCAUAAAAUUCAAAGAUUCGAAUUUUCGUCAAGAGACCGAAGCGGCCAUCUUCCAGUCUUUGCAGGAGAAUACUGUUAUCGUGACAUACAGUGGAGAGCAACUGGAAACUCCUCACAACACUAUUCAAGUUGCAUUCCAUCCCGUAACGGCAGACAGGUUUGUGCUGGAGGUUGCUGUUGCAGCAGUAGAUGGUUUACUGUUUUAUGACAAGGAAGGCCCAGAAGCUUACGAGUAUGAAAAUAGCAGACUGAAGAGGUUAUUGAUCACAGAUUGGUACGAAAGAUUGUGUAUCGAGACUGAUGGCGAUGCUGAAAACUAACAUGGCACUAUCUGAAAAAGACAGUAACCAAUGUUUAGAUGAGAACCUAACGGACCUUCCUGUCGAGAGGGUAGACACAAGGGGCCUGUAUCAGAAGAGGCCUCCCUGCAAGCAGAUUGAGAAAAGUCUUGAGGAUAUUGAAGCCAUGGUUUUGCAAGGAGGCCCAGAAACAAUCAAAAUAUUUCCCAAGAGUUUUCCAGAAGAAGAGGCUUAUACUAAUUUGAAGACAAGACUCAAUGAACUGUCGACAGUGGACAAUGUUGGUCUUGCAUACAUCGCAAAUUCUCUCCCGGUUACUGCUAAUAUGGACAUUAAGUACAAGACUCCCGGAGAAGUUAUUAUGGACGUGUGUCUGUUCAGACAGCGAAGUCCGGCGGUUAUUUUUUCUGUUGUGACAGAUGUAUCCAAGAAUAUGAAACUUAAUCAACGAUACAACUCUGCUGUCUCGAAAAACGUUACAAAGAACGUUCGGAAAUUUACGACCAUGACCUUCAACUCUAUAUACGGGUUAAUGCAUGAGAAAGACCUCAUGUCGAAGGAAACAUUUGAGUCAUCGCUAGCAAGAAUAGAGAAGGAACGAUCUCGCCUCUGUAUUCCUGAUUCUUUGAGUAUGAACAACAAGAAGUAUAAGCAUGUUGUCCGUGCCUUUCUCUCUUCUAUGGCAGCAACCGAGUUUGUUAGUGACGAAAACGAUGAAACUCUAUGGUUUUUGACUCAUAAACAGUUCUGUAUCCUGACAGAGAACAUUGAUCACACUGAAGUGCAUGUUGAUACCUUCCCUGCCAGCGGUGGUCGAGUCCUGUCUCUCACCGUAUGCCAGCGUUUACAGAAACUUGGACGAACAUUGCUCAUAUCAGAUGAUCUCAAACUGAUCGAACGUGCAAGAAACCAUAAUAUUGAUUGCAAGACGUUCAAUGACAUUGGACAAAAGGUUCUGGUGGCUGAAGGAAAUCACUUCCCUUCCAUUGUGAUAUACCAAGGUGAAGAAGAUUGCUCAUCUCAGAGUCCACACCUGCCCAAGCUCUUGUCAAAUGCACAAAAGUGUUGGAUUUUCCAUAGACAGAAAGGAUCGCUUGAGAAGGAAGAUAUGCCCAAAAGUCCUGAAAGUGUGACCCAUUCACCAACACUGCUUGAUUAUGAUGCUGAUACAAUGGACAAAGUUCGUAAUCUUUUAGAUGACAGCUGCGCUGAAAUAGCAAUGGGCACCAAGGACGUCCAUGUAACAUCAGCUGUUGAUGAGGUCAUCAGCAUGUUGGAAGGGAACAAUCAGUGGAUCACAAUCACAGGUCGUCCGGGAGAAGGGAAAACAACCCUUGGGUAUAUGGUUCUGGAGCAGAUGAAGGCUAAAGGAGCGAGAAUUUGUAUCAUUGACAGUCCCAAUGAUUAUGCACUUUUCUCAGCUAACGCAUUGACCAACCACGUGUUUAUGUUCAAGGAUGUUUUGACCUAUGCUACUUGUGACCUACAAACAAGGAAACGAUGGGUUGAGUUUGUCAAUAACUUACAUAAAAGCAUCAAGGGUGAAUGUGACACAAAUGUCUGUUUUAUCCUUAUAUGCAACAAACAUGACGAGGAAUGGAAAUAUUUGGGUGGAUAUGCUAUGGAAAUAUUCUACUGGAAUGUUUUCAACCUAACCGAUCACUUCAGAGAAAAUCCUGAUGAACGGACCAAAGUUCUUACAUACUUUCUGCAUAAAUACCAGAAUACAGACCAAAACAUUGAGACAAAUAUUGCAUGUGCUAAGCAUGGAUUUCUACUCUGCGUUAAACUCUUUUGUGAAUUGCGAAAGACAAUUCAGACAGAACACGUCCAUUCAUUUUUCUCAGAUCCUAUUCUUUAUGUAACGAAUUUAGUCACUGACCACGCACACGACGAAGGAACCAUGACAUUUCUUCGCAGUAUGCUACAACAUGAUGAAUUCACCUCAACAGAAGAAGCUGUUAUUCCAAAGCCCUUGUCGCAAUUUCAUGGUGUAUUCCUACAAGAGGACAAUAACAUAAGGUUCUGUCAUCCAUCUGUUCGCGUGGCAGUAGCAAUGGUAAUGGGAAAGGUAGAUCUACUAUUUGUUCUUCAGAACUGUAGCUCUACCUUUGUCAUUCCACGACUGAAAGUCCAGGCAACAGAAGAGGAGGCAGGAUUCUUAUACGUCAAUGCUGAAAACAAAGAAGUUUUGCGAAAGGUCACAUCUACCUUUGCAUGUGCUUUGCAAGAGGGCUACUUCGAUGUUCUAAGACAUGACAUGCUCCUUGAUGAAACAUUCUUUCAACAAGUGUUGAGAGAAGCUAAAAACACCUCUUCAACUUUUCUGAACGAGUUGAACACCGACGGGUAUUCGUUGCUACACGCAGCCUUGAGACAUGGCAACAAAGUUGCGGUACAGGUCCUUCUUGACAUGGAAGCAAAUGUAAAAGUGAAAUGUCACGGCAAAUCGGUGUUGCAUCUCUUGUGUGAAGAAACUGAAUUUGACAAAGAUCUCUUUCUCUUAUUUUGUGAGAAGGGUGCAGAUAUCAGUGCAGUUGAUGAAGAUGGACAAACCAUUCUUCAUUAUUUAUGCAUGAAGUCAGGAAGCGACACUACAAUCCAACUGGUGUUAAAAAGAGGCUGUGACGCUACGGUGACAGAUCACAGUAGGAAGACAGCACUACAUUACUUGUGUGCUAAAAGACACAUCGAUAAAGACUUGUUUACAGCACUAAUCCAGCGUGACUGUAAUGUUAACAUGUGUGACAAAUGGGGAAAGAACGUUCUGCACUACUUAUGUGAAAGUUCAGUGUUUGAUCGGGAGAUUUUUCAUAUUGCGUUUAGCCACAGGGUUGAUGUUUCAGCUAUAGAUAUCUUCGGUAACACGCCGCUGCAUUAUGCUGCUGAAACGAGCCAUCCACUCAAGGUCAUUGAUCUUCUCAUACAAAAUGGAUCAAACAUCAACUGUAGAAAUGCGCGUGGAGACACCAUAUCUCUUCGGCUUUGUAAGUUCAAUGUAUUACAAAGAGAUCUGUUGGAGUAUUUGAUUAGACAUGACACUGAUGUAAAUGCUGCAGAUGAGGAUGGAAAGACAAUCAUUAUGAUUCUUGCCGAAAAUGGGAAUCUAAAUGCCGAAAUGCUAGAUUUGUUAAUGAAGGCUGGCUGCGAUGUCAACAAACAAGAUGCACUCGGUAACACACCACUACAUUACUGCUGCAUCAGUGGUGAUGUGAAUGAAACCCUACGCUGCCUGCUGGAGUAUGGUGCAAAUGUAAACCACUCCAAUACUUAUAUGAAGACCCCACUUCAUUAUGCUUUUGAACGCAUGGUUCCUCGGGUCAUUGAACAACUGAUCCACUACGGUGCUGACACAAAUGCUACUGACAAGGAUGGAAUGACACCAUUGCUUUUUCUUUGCGAAAAUACAAGAACAACGAUAGACAUAUUCACGUCGUGUUUGAACGCAUUGUUAGAAGGGAAAUGUGACUUGAACAAAUCCGACAAGGAAGGAAAAACUGCUCUGCAUUAUGUCUGUGAAAGGCAGAAAAACACAGAUAUGGCAUGUGUGUUGAUUCAAGCGGGGGCUAAGGUCAACAUGAGAGAUAACCAUGGUAGUACACCACUGCACUAUAUCUGUGCAUGGGAAGGCGUAAAGGAUUUAUCAGUGAUGGUGAAUAUGCUGAUCAACCAAGGUUCACGCACGAAUAUUUGUGAUGAGUGGAAACGAGUCCCACUUCAUAUUUUGUGUAAAGCAAACGAUAUUGACCAAGAUACUCUUAAGAUCUUGUUAAACAAUGGCGGUACCGUAAAUGCGAGGGAUGUUUUCAAGAAGACUCCACUUCACUACGCUUGUGACCAUACACCUGUCAACAGAGAGGCUAUAAUGUUGUUGAUACAUGGACGUGCUGAUGUGAACAUUGCAGACGGAAACAAGCGAACCCCUCUUCAUGUAUUGUGCAUGCAAAAGCAUAUUGACAAAGAAGCUGUGAAUAUUCUUUUGGAGAAACGCGCCUUUGUUAACACUACAGAUGAACACGGUAAGACAGCUCUUCAUUAUGUAAGUCAAAAUGAGUCGUCAACGAAAGAAAUUGUGUCCCUGAUAUUACAAAACGGUGCUGAUUUAGACAAGACAGAUGGUUUAGGCAUUUCCGUCUCAGAGUACCUUUUGAAACGGACAGAUCUGAAACAAAUUGUACCUUUGGCCAUCUUGAAGAAGAGACCAGCGGUUGAAGACUACAGCUUAAGGUUUCAACAACCAAAUGGGAAACAAGAAGUAUUCGCAGAGAUCGUCAGGACUGGCGCAUUUGACAAAAAAGACAGGCAUGGGAGGACAUUUCUGCAUUACGCUUGUGCUUUGAGCACUGAAGAUGAUGGCAUCAUUGAACAAACAUUGCAACUCGACUGUGACGUCAACCUAAAGGAUCCCGAUAACAUGACAGCAUUACAUAUCAUUUGCAGACGAACUAAUGAGAACGUUCACAAAUACAUAGCACUGUUAUUGCAGAAAGGUGCUAGAGUUGACAUGACUGACAGACAUGGCAAUACCCCACUUCACUAUCUUGGAAUGACCUCAAUCAUAGCUGAACGGAAUGCUACUCACCUGGAACUAUUGUUAAAUAGGGGAUCUGAUGUCAAAAGUGUUGAUGGCAAUGGUAUAAGUUUUGUUCACUAUAUGGCUAUUGCAGGAAUUUGUGAUAAAAUUAAAGUUGCCUUGGAUGAAACAAAAGAUGUUGAUGUUACUGUGAAACAUGAUGUCAGUACAUUCAUCCACAAGGGACAGACAGCACUUCAUUUAGCGUGCAUUUCCUCCAAAGCUGGAGCAGGUGUUGUGAACGAGUUGCUGAAGUCUAAGGCUAAUAUAUGUGCAACUGACAGGAGGGGAAGAACGCCUUUGCACUACGCCUGCCGGUGUCCAUGCGAAAUUGCAUAUGAUGCAACCACAAAUGAACUGACCAGCAAACCUUCUUCAGACAAUCUGGAGCGGAAAAAGGUUGUAGAACUAUUACUUGCCCAGCAUAUGAAGAAGAGGAAAAGGGGCCAGAGGCCGGUUGAUGAGAACAGCACUUCUGACUCUGUAAGUAUGAGAACGGCAUUUCUGACUCUGUAUGAGAACAGCACUUCUGACUCUGUAUGAGAACAGCACUUCUUACUCUAAAAGUAUGGGAACAGCACUUCUGACUCUGUAAGUAUGAGAACAGCACUUCUGACUCUGUUAGUAUGAGAACAGCACUUCUGACUCUGGUCUUGGAGAAUUUAGUGACAGCUCCAAAACAACAACGAAGAGCACAUGUGUCCCUGUUCCUCCUGCUGUCAAAGAUUA
This 5845-nucleotide unclassified non-coding RNA is filed under the name Haliotis rubra (blacklip abalone). RNAcentral's name for it is "uncharacterized LOC124256427, transcript variant X4". The record is from RNAcentral. Lineage: Eukaryota; Metazoa; Mollusca; Gastropoda; Lepetellida; Haliotidae.